AGUGAACGCUGGCGGUAGGCCUAACACAUGCAAGUCGAACGGCAGCACAGUAAGAGCUUGCUCUUACGGGUGGCGAGUGGCGGACGGGUGAGGAAUACAUCGGAAUCUACUUUUUCGUGGGGGAUAACGUAGGGAAACUUACGCUAAUACCGCAUACGACCUACGGGUGAAAGCAGGGGAUCUUCGGACCUUGCGCGAUUGAAUGAGCCGAUGUCGGAUUAGCUAGUUGGCGGGGUAAAGGCCCACCAAGGCGACGAUCCGUAGCUGGUCUGAGAGGAUGAUCAGCCACACUGGAACGGAGACACGGUCCAGACCCCUACGGGAGGCACAAGAGGGGAAUAUUGGACAAUGGGCGCAAGCCUGCUCCAGCCAUACCGCGUGGGUGAAGAAGGCCUUCGGGUUGUAAAGCCCUUUUGUUGGGAAAGAAAAGCAGCAGGUUAAUACCCCGCUGUUCUGACGGUACCCAAAGAAUAAGCACCGGCUAACUUCGUG
RNAcentral lists this ribosomal RNA (492 nucleotides) under uncultured bacterium. Its description in RNAcentral is "partial 16S ribosomal RNA". It matches the Rfam family "Bacterial small subunit ribosomal RNA", at positions 29 to 507 of the family's 1533-position model. The record is from RNAcentral.